This is a long non-coding RNA of Lactuca sativa (garden lettuce), 1144 nucleotides long. RefSeq lists it as uncharacterized. Lineage: Eukaryota; Viridiplantae; Streptophyta; Magnoliopsida; Asterales; Asteraceae. The record is from RefSeq and is a predicted model, not a curated record.
CAACCCAAGUCGACACGGCUCCGACGCGCCAUUAUGUGCGUACACACACACGCAUGUAUUAAUCUCUUAUUCAUCAUUUUUUUAUACAUAAAUGAAUUGGCGUGUCGUUUGAAGCGAUCUGAUUAUACGUGUCAUAAAUUGUUUUAAGAAUUUCUUAUGAAUUACGAUCAAAAUCGAACAAACAGAUUGCAAAAGCCUCUGACGUUUGUAUCUUCUGCGUUUUGAUCGCUGAUUGGACCAGAGAAGUUAGCCAUCGUUGUUGAAAUGAUUCGGAUGUCGAAAUUUUGAGGAAAAAAAGGAAAAUUCAUCAAAACCUUUUUAGAUUUUAUCCGAUUACCUCGAUUGUAGCAAAACACAGAGUUUUGUUUUUGUUUUUAGGGGUAUUUAUCAUUAUUUGGUUGUUGUUGUUGGUUUUGGAUAAGGAAUAUUAUGGUUUUGGAUCUAAACGAUAUGUCAAGGAGGGAGCAUCGGCAAGAUCAACAAUCUAGGGUUUUCUACGAGCUAUCGGCUUUAAUUUUGAACAUACUCCGGUAUCCUCCGACGCCGAUCCAAUACUCUGAUUCUGAUGAAGUAUCUACGUCUUCCCGAAGGCAGCCUCAACGGCAUCCGUUAACGCAACUAACGCCGGCGGGGUUCGCAUCGUUGCUAUUGGGGAUAUCAUUGUCGUUGAUGUUGUGUGGAUCGAUAACGUUCUUCAUAGGGUUCUUAUUGAUGCCUUGGGUGCUUGGCUUGGUUUUGGUGUUUUAUGUUGUUGGGAUUAUUUCGACUCUAGCGAUGCUCGGUCGCGCCAUUUUUUUCCAUACUUUUUCUCCUAAAAAAGGCGUUCCUGCGUGGAAACUGUUGUGAACAAAGGCUAUAGACCAUCGAGUUACACCAACAGCCGCUGCUUUCUUGAUGCAGCACUCCGGAAGGGGUUAUUAGUUAUAAAGAUAGAGAUAUAUUACUGGAACUGUGCAUAAAUGGAUACACGGACUUCUACUCUGUUUUAAAAUAUUCAACUAGAAUUUAGUACAACACAAACACAUGAAAUGGAGGAUUUCUGUUUCUUGAAAACAAUGUUAUUAGAGGUGACCUGAAAAACAGUCUUUUUCUGGGUAAUGUUGGGUUUGGGUGCCUAUGAUUUAUGAAAAUGUGUAAUUUGUUA